GACGAACGCUGGCGGCGUGCCUAAUACAUGCAAGUCGAACGCUGAAGGAGGAGCUUGCUUCUCUGGAUGAGUUGCGAACGGGUGAGUAACGCGUAGGUAACCUGCCUGGUAGCGGGGGAUAACUAUUGGAAACGAUAGCUAAUACCGCAUAAGAGUAGAUGUUGCAUGACAUUUGCUUAAAAGGUGCAAUUGCAUCACUACCAGAUGGACCUGCGUUGUAUUAGCUAGUUGGUGGGGUAACGGCUCACCAAGGCGACGAUACAUAGCCGACCUGAGAGGGUGAUCGGCCACACUGGGACUGAGACACGGCCCAGACUCCUACGGGAGGCAGCAGUAGGGAAUCUUCGGCAAUGGACGGAAGUCUGACCGAGCAACGCCGCGUGAGUGAAGAAGGUUUUCGGAUCGUAAAGCUCUGUUGUAAGAGAAGAACGAGUGUGAGAGUGGAAAGUUCACACUGUGACGGUAUCUUGCCAGAAAGGGACGGCUAACUACGUG
RNAcentral lists this ribosomal RNA (495 nucleotides) under uncultured bacterium. RNAcentral describes it as "partial 16S ribosomal RNA". It matches the Rfam family "Bacterial small subunit ribosomal RNA", at positions 28 to 507 of the family's 1533-position model. The record is from RNAcentral.